GCCCAAAUAGCUCAGUGGUAGAGCGCUUCCAUGGUAAGGAAGAGGUCCCGAGUUCAAUCCUCGGUUUGGGCUCCA
This 75-nucleotide transfer RNA is filed under the name bacterium. Its description in RNAcentral is "tRNA-Thr". It matches the Rfam family "tRNA". From Rfam's summary of the family: Transfer RNA (tRNA) molecules are approximately 80 nucleotides in length. The record is from RNAcentral. RNAcentral also lists the same sequence under 2 other names.